This 306-nucleotide ribosomal RNA is filed under the name Clostridioides difficile. RNAcentral's name for it is "partial 16S ribosomal RNA". It matches the Rfam family "Bacterial small subunit ribosomal RNA", at positions 1 to 314 of the family's 1533-position model. The record is from RNAcentral. Lineage: Bacteria; Bacillati; Bacillota; Clostridia; Peptostreptococcales; Peptostreptococcaceae.
UUUUAUUUGAGAGUUUGAUCCUGGCUCAGGAUGAACGCUGGCGGCGUGCCUAACACAUGCAAGUUGAGCGAUUUACUUCGGUAAAGAGCGGCGGACGGGUGAGUAACGCGUGGGUAACCUACCCUGUACACACGGAUAACAUACCGAAAGGUAUGCUAAUACGGGAUAAUAUAUUUGAGAGGCAUCUCUUAAAUAUCAAAGGUGAGCCAGUACAGGAUGGACCCGCGUCUGAUUAGCUAGUUGGUAAGGUAACGGCUUACCAAGGCGACGAUCAGUAGCCGACCUGAGAGGGUGAUCGGCCACAUU